Molecule: small nuclear RNA, 188 nt
Organism: Suricata suricatta (meerkat)
Lineage: Eukaryota; Metazoa; Chordata; Mammalia; Carnivora; Herpestidae
Gene: U2
Rfam family: U2 spliceosomal RNA
About the family: U2 is a small nuclear RNA (snRNA) component of the spliceosome (involved in pre-mRNA splicing). Complementary binding between U2 snRNA (in an area lying towards the 5' end but 3' to hairpin I) and the branchpoint sequence (BPS) of the intron results the bulging out of an unpaired adenosine, on the BPS, which initiates a nucleophilic attack at the intronic 5' splice site, thus starting the first of two transesterification reactions that mediate splicing.
Source: Ensembl
AUUGCUUCUCAGUCUUUGGCUAAGGUCAAGUGUAGUAUCUGCCCUUAUCAGUUUAAUAAUUAUUAAUAAAGCUCUAACUUUGUCAUUUGCACCAAAAAAUAUUUUUCAAAUCUGAAAGUUUAUUUUUAAGAAAAGGUUUUAUUUUCUGGACAGCCUGCUUUGAGAAUGAUAGGCUUGGGGAAUUCUUA